GACAACCUGGUUGAUCCUGCCAGUAGUCAUAUGCUUGUCUCAAAGAUUAAGCCAUGCAUGUCUCAGUACAAGCCAAAUUAAGGUGAAACCGCGAAAGGCUCAUUAAAUCAGUUAUGGUUCCUUAGAUCGUACCAACAUUUACUUGGAUAACUGUGGUAAUUCUAGAGCUAAUACAUGCAAACAGAGCUUCGACCGGAGACGGAAGAGGCGCUUUUAUUAGAUCAAAACCAAUCGGCGGCGGGUUCGCUUGCGGGCUCGUCGUCGUUUUCACUGACGAAUCUGAAUAACUUUCUGCUGAUCGCACGGUCUCGCACCGGCGACGCAUCUUUCAAAUGUCUGCCUUAUCAACUGUCGAUGGUAGGUUCUGUGCCUACCAUGGUUGUAACGGGUAACGGGGAAUCAGGGUUCGAUUCCGGAGAGGGAGCCUGAGAAACGGCUACCACAUCCAAGGAAGGCAGCAGGCGCGCAAAUUACCCACUCCCGGCACGGGGAGGUAGUGACGAAAAAUAACGAUACGGGACUCAUCCGAGGCCCCGUAAUCGGAAUGAGAACAAUUUAAAUCCUUUAACGAGGAUCAAUUGGAGGGCAAGUCUGGUGCCAGCAGCCGCGGUAAUUCCAGCUCCAAUAGCGUAUAUUAAAGUUGUUGCGGUUAAAAAGCUCGUAGUCGAAUCUGUGUCCCGCGCCGCCGGUUCGUCGCUCGCGGCGUUUAACUGGCGUGUCCGCGGGACGUCCUGCCGGUGGGCUUAGCCUUUUCAUUAAGGCGGCCCAAUCUUAAUCCCGCCGCGGUGCUCUUCACCGAGUGUCGAGGCGGGCCGGCACGUUUACUUUGAACAAAUUAGAGUGCUUAAAGCAGGCUAAAACUUCGCCUGAAUACUUCGUGCAUGGAAUAAUGGAAUAGGACCUCGGUUCUAUUUUGUUGGUUUUCGGAACCCCGAGGUAAUGAUUAAUAGGAACGGAUGGGGGCAUUCGUAUUGCGACGUUAGAGGUGAAAUUCUUGGAUCGUCGCAAGACGGACAGAAGCGAAAGCAUUUGCCAAAAACGCUUUCAUCGAUCAAGAACGAAAGUUAGAGGUUCGAAGGCGAUCAGAUACCGCCCUAGUUCUAACCAUAAACUAUGCCAGCUAGCGAUCCGCCGANGUUACUUCUAUGACUCGGCGGGCAGCUUCCGGGAAACCAAAGCUUUNGGGUUCCGGGGGAAGUAUGGUUGCAAAGCUGAAACUUAAAGGAAUUGACGGAAGGGCACCACCAGGAGUGGAGCCUGCGGCUUAAUUUGACUCAACACGGGAAACCUCACCAGGCCCGGACACCGGAAGGAUUGACAGAUUGAGAGCUCUUUCUUGAUUCGGUGGGUGGUGGUGCAUGGCCGUUCUUAGUUGGUGGAGCGAUUUGUCUGGUUAAUUCCGAUAACGAACGAGACUC
RNAcentral lists this ribosomal RNA (1418 nucleotides) under Microtrichalus sp. BM0121. RNAcentral describes it as "SSU rRNA". It matches the Rfam family "Eukaryotic small subunit ribosomal RNA", at positions 1 to 1343 of the family's 1831-position model. Lineage: Eukaryota; Metazoa; Arthropoda; Insecta; Coleoptera; Lycidae. The record is from RNAcentral.